AGUGUGGUGUAGUGGUUUGAGCAUUGGACUCUGACUCUGGAGACCAGGGUUCAAAUCCUUGUCACACUC
RNAcentral lists this transfer RNA (69 nucleotides) under Phrynosoma platyrhinos (Desert horned lizard). RNAcentral describes it as "tRNA-OTHER". It matches the Rfam family "tRNA". From Rfam's summary of the family: Transfer RNA (tRNA) molecules are approximately 80 nucleotides in length. Their secondary structure includes four short double-helical elements and three loops (D, anti-codon, and T loops). The record is from RNAcentral. Lineage: Eukaryota; Metazoa; Chordata; Lepidosauria; Squamata; Phrynosomatidae.